GCGGACGUGGCGAAACUGGUAGACGCAAGAGACUUAAAAUCUCUCAGCCGCGAGGCUAUGCGGGUUCGAUCCCCGCCGUCCGCACCA
This 87-nucleotide transfer RNA is filed under the name Allobosea sp. RNAcentral describes it as "tRNA-Leu". It matches the Rfam family "tRNA". From Rfam's summary of the family: Transfer RNA (tRNA) molecules are approximately 80 nucleotides in length. RNAcentral also lists the same sequence under 3 other names. Lineage: Bacteria; Pseudomonadati; Pseudomonadota; Alphaproteobacteria; Hyphomicrobiales; Alloboseaceae. The record is from RNAcentral.